RNAcentral lists this ribosomal RNA (253 nucleotides) under uncultured bacterium. RNAcentral's name for it is "partial 16S ribosomal RNA". It matches the Rfam family "Bacterial small subunit ribosomal RNA", at positions 524 to 776 of the family's 1533-position model. The record is from RNAcentral.
UACGAAGGGUGCAAGCGUUAAUCGGAAUUACUGGGCGUAAAGGGUGCGUAGGCGGUUUGUUAAGUCUGUUGUGAAAUCCCCGGGCUCAACCUGGGAAUGGCGUUUGAAACUGGCAGGCUAGAGUUUGGCAGAGGGGGGUGGAAUUCCACGUGUAGCAGUGAAAUGCGUAGAGAUGUGGAGGAACACCGAUGGCGAAGGCAGCCCCCUGGGUCAAGACUGACGCUCAUGCACGAAAGCGUGGGGAGCAAACAGG